RNAcentral lists this ribosomal RNA (339 nucleotides) under uncultured bacterium. Its description in RNAcentral is "bacterial SSU rRNA". It matches the Rfam family "Bacterial small subunit ribosomal RNA", at positions 335 to 665 of the family's 1533-position model. The record is from RNAcentral.
ACUCCUACGGGAGGCAGCAGUGGGGAAUAUUGCACAAUGGGGGAAACCCUGAUGCAGCCAUGCCGCGUGUGUGAAGAAGGCCUUCGGUUGUAAGCACUUUCAGUAGGGAGGAAGGUAGUGUAGUUAACACCUGCACUAUUUGACGUUACCUACAGAAGAAGCACCGGCUAACUCCGUGCCAGCAGCCGCGGUAAUACGGAGGGUGCGAGCGUUAAUCGGAAUUACUGGGCGUAAAGCGCAUGCAGGUGGUUUGUUAAGUCUAGAUGUGAAAGCCCGGGGCUCGAACCUCGGAAUUGCAUUUUGAAACUGGCAAACUAGAGUACUGUAGAGGGGGUAGAA